UUGAGUGAAAAAAUAGUAAUAAUAAUAAAAAGGUUACAAAGUAUAGCAAGACAAAGGUGUACCUAAACACCUCUAUUCCUUUAUCAAAGAAACAUUUUAAAAAGAAUAACAUAUCUAUAUUUUUGCCUCUUUAUGGAGACAAAAAAGGAUAGUGCAUUUGUCUUUUGAGGGCUCGAGGCUAAUGAACUUACUUACAUACCACUUCUUUUUUUUUUAAAUUAAAAAAUGCAAUUACUUCCACUUCUGUAGUUAUCUUCAUCUUACGUCAUUCUUCUUAUUGAUAUCCUUAUGAUUGGACUGGAACACUUUACCUCAAUUCAAUGCAAAAAUGACAGAUUUCUCUUUCAUUUUCUGGCUAAGAAAAUGCCAAGAUGGCCUUCGAAUAUGAAACCCUGAAAAUUUUGGAUCGACUUACACACAGUAUUACCGACAAUGCUGCAAUAGCAAAAAUUGUUUAAUUUGAAGGUGGGUCUGGAUCCAUCAACCAAAAGUUUGUGGACUCUUCUGAAUUAGUGGCAAACUCUGCUUCUUCAUAAUCUGAAAGAGGUAUUUCAAGAACAGAACUACUAAGACGUAUAAUGUUACUGAUCUUGAAUGAAAAAUUGACACCAGAACUCCCAGAGGGAACUGCAUAGCCAGCAACAUAAAAAGCUUGAACUCGUGCCACUCCAAGGAACUUGCUGCUUCUAGCUUUCCAGAAGGGUCUGCAUCUACUUUCUUUGCAUAAAUAUUGUAUUUUGGGAAGGU
Molecule: long non-coding RNA, 747 nt
Organism: Humulus lupulus (European hop)
Lineage: Eukaryota; Viridiplantae; Streptophyta; Magnoliopsida; Rosales; Cannabaceae
Exons: 3
Source: RefSeq, a predicted model, not a curated record